UGUGAAUACUGAUAUACCAAUCCUACCUGCCUUCGACGGGUCUAAGGAUGUUCUACUCACACUUCCCUCUGGAAAAUCAACCAGAAAUAUCAGAUGGAUCGCUGUGUGGUGCAGAGAUUAUAAAGUGAAUUUUGGAUACAUUACUUUUCCUUAAAACAAGAUUUUGGGGUAUUCCACCUAUCUCCCUCUACAAUUCAUGGAGUAUUAUGAUUUUUAAAUAUUGUUUUGAAAACAUUCAAUUCAUAUAUUUUACGUUAAUCUAUCUGAUGUUGCAAAUGUUAAAAAUUCAUUUUAUAAAAAUUUGAUGAAAAGUUUUGCUAGGAAUAAAUCUUAUGUAUGUCGAAUAAAUCGUUAAGUUGUUCAAA
Molecule: long non-coding RNA, 365 nt
Organism: Eurytemora carolleeae
Lineage: Eukaryota; Metazoa; Arthropoda; Copepoda; Calanoida; Temoridae
Exons: 3
Source: RefSeq, a predicted model, not a curated record